This 505-nucleotide ribosomal RNA is filed under the name uncultured bacterium. RNAcentral's name for it is "partial 16S ribosomal RNA". It matches the Rfam family "Bacterial small subunit ribosomal RNA", at positions 28 to 507 of the family's 1533-position model. The record is from RNAcentral.
GACGAACGCUGGCGGCGUGCCUAAUACAUGCGAGUAGAACGCACAGUUUAUACCGUAGCUUGCUACACCAUAGACUGUGAGUUGCGAACGGGUGAGUAACGCGUAGGUAACCUGCCUGGUAGCGGGGGAUAACUAUUGGAAACGAUAGCUAAUACCGCAUAAUAUUAAUUAUUGCAUGAUAAUUAAUUGAAAGGUGCAAUUGCACCACUACCAGAUGGACCUGCGUUGUAUUAGCUAGUAGGUGAGGUAACGGCUCACCUAGGCGACGAUACAUAGCCGACCUGAGAGGGUGAUCGGCCACACUGGGACUGAGACACGGCCCAGACUCCUACGGGAGGCAGCAGUAGGGAAUCUUCGGCAAUGGACGAAAGUCUGACCGAGCAACGCCGCGUGAGUGAAGAAGGGUUUCGGAUCGUAAAGCUCUGUUGUAAGAGAAGAACGGGUGUGAGAGUGGAAAGUUCACACUGUGACGGUAUCUUACCAGAAAGGGACGGCUAACUACGUG